UACCUGUCCAUCUACCCCAGGGUGUGGCUACAGCAUAAAUUCAGACAGAGUAGAGAGUUUCUUCAGAGGUGAACUUGUCAAGGCAACAGUUUCAGUGCUAUCACAUCACUCCUGAGAACAAUGUCAGACACAAAACCAAUGCGGUGAAAGCAAACAAUGCCACGGUGAAGGCAAGGAAAAAGGGAAAGGCCAGGAGCAUGGGCAUGGACAUGGACCAGAUCAGUGCCAGGGCAAGGGGAAAGAACAUGGAAAAGAACAUGGCCAUGGUCACGGUCACGGACAUUGUCAUGGUGGAAAAGAUGGCGCAAAGAAAUAAAACGAGGGCCCGCACUAACAACAAUGCUGAAUGAAGAGAUAUCUAAGACUGAUUAUCUUUCUUUUGUGCAAAAAUCAAUAAUAAAUUAAAAUGUGUGUGACCAGCCAUAUAUAUUUGCAUUAAAUUCACUGAUGACCAAUGAAAUGUUGGUAAUAAAGAAUAUCUUCUAGAA
Molecule: long non-coding RNA, 488 nt
Organism: Clarias gariepinus (North African catfish)
Lineage: Eukaryota; Metazoa; Chordata; Actinopteri; Siluriformes; Clariidae
Exons: 3
Source: RefSeq, a predicted model, not a curated record